CGGGUGAGUAACGCGUGGAGAACCUGCCGUAUACUGGGGGAUAACACUUAGAAAUAGGUGCUAAUACCGCAUAAGCGCACAGCUUCGCAUGAAGCAGUGUGAAAAACUCCGGUGGUAUACGAUGGAUCCGCGUCUGAUUAGCUGGUUGGCGGGGUAAAGGCCCACCAAGGCGACGAUCAGUAGCCGGCCUGAGAGGGUGAACGGCCACAUUGGGACUGAGACACGGCCCAAACUCCUACGGAAGGCAGCAG
RNAcentral lists this ribosomal RNA (251 nucleotides) under uncultured bacterium. Its description in RNAcentral is "partial 16S ribosomal RNA". It matches the Rfam family "Bacterial small subunit ribosomal RNA", at positions 103 to 354 of the family's 1533-position model. The record is from RNAcentral.